GUUUAUCUUCGAGUUUUGUGCAAAGCACAAAACAUCAUGUGGUUGUAUGCGGUUUGUUUACAAACCGCUUGAAAAAACUUUUUUCGGAAAUUGAUAUUUCCUGCAAAAAGUUUUUAUAGGA
Regulatory RNA element from Treponema denticola ATCC 35405, 121 nucleotides. It matches the Rfam family "TD-1 RNA". From Rfam's summary of the family: non coding RNA found in Treponema denticola Lineage: Bacteria; Pseudomonadati; Spirochaetota; Spirochaetia; Treponematales; Treponemataceae. The record is from Rfam.